GGAUCAGUCGCGUUGGGGGAUUCAGCCUUGCUUCUGCUUGGUGUAUUUCCUGUCCGACGGGUCAGUGUCGAUUUCGACUGAGGGAAAAAGGCUUGGGGAAUGUGGCCAUCUUCGGGUGGUGUUAUAGCCCCUUGUUGUAUGUCUCAGUUGGGAUCGAGGUCAGCAGCGCGCCUUUUGGCCGGGGUUCGCGCCCUCGGUACGCGCUUAGGACACUGGCAUAAUGGCUUUAAGCGACCCGUCUUGAAACACGGACCAAGA
RNAcentral lists this ribosomal RNA (258 nucleotides) under Serendipita indica. RNAcentral's name for it is "partial large subunit ribosomal RNA". The record is from RNAcentral. Lineage: Eukaryota; Fungi; Basidiomycota; Agaricomycetes; Sebacinales; Serendipitaceae.